UUGAAUCUGGUUUUCAGUAGACAUGCCUGUCUUCAUUCACUGCGUCGAAUGUCUCGCUGCACCUUACGUCCAUCUCUGUAGAAUUGUGAUUCCCAAGCGAAAAUAACACAUCGUGCUACGUUGGGAGUACUUAGGAUGAGCAAAUAAUGUAUGGCAAGUCUCAUUCACUAUUAUCCUUGGGAGUUGUUCCUCUCGGACCUUACUUACGGCAUCUUCCUCAGAAACCAAAAGGGAAAACAGAAAAGAGGCGAGUCCCUCCAAUAAAAUUAUGCAAUCUCUGCUUCAUGGAUGGACAGCAUCCUGAUAAAGCUCGUUAUCGACAGACGGAAAUAUCAUUCCGAACCGUGCUAGGGUUGAACCUGCUGCUUUACUUAUAUUUAGACACAUAAAGAUUAUGAAAUAUUUAUAAAAUAAAAGUCUCGAUCAUGAAAUGAAAGUUCAUACUAAUAGUUUCAAAUGACAUACUCAUCAUCAAAUGUUGUGGAAUACAGAUCGUGUAAAAAUAGGAAAACACAAAAACUUUAUUUAAAUCCAAGUUUCACCUAUUGAAAACUUAGAACCUACCGAUCAAAACAGCUGGAAUCCCACCAAUCCAUCGCUUCAAUUCAAAGUUCUAACCUGAAAGUAUGCUCAUCCCUAAUAGUAUGCUCAUCCCUAAUUCCGAGCAUCAAUCCCCAAACCAUCAUGCUCUACCUUAUGUCCUUGUGCAUAGUGUCAAAAAGGUUAUCGAGCCUAGAUUCAACAUCGCCGACCAUGGGCAACCCUUAGAUCUAGUGUACCUCCUGGCCAGCGAUGCCAUACAUGGCAAUUUCGCAAGUAGUCGUGAUCUUCGAGUAGAGAGACAAUGACACAAAUUGUGGGUGAUGCCUAAGAGCCACGACGCAAGGACUGGAGUUGAUCUAGACUCAUAAAUAUAUACACAAAGUUAAACAGAUAAAGACUCAGUCCGUUAGAGCGACAGAUUCAUUUGAAUUGCCCAAACAAACCGAUCCUUUCUUGCUCAACCAAUUUGUGGUAAGAUGCAUUUCACCACUAAAUCAAUUAUUUCUAGUAUUACCCUUGGGCCUUUGAUCAUAAUAAUGACUUUUAUUUUUUAUUUUUUAUUUUUUUUUGGUUGAAAUGGCUCAACCUCACACAAGUUAGAAAAUUAUAUAGCGAGGACCAACACCACAAUUCCUUCUCCUACAUGUAUCGUCCAAAGCUAUAAAGAACCAACCCAAAACGAAAGUUUCUUUUUUCCUUUUUUUUAUGAAAAAACGAAAGUUUCUCCCUAACAAGUCCUUGUGAAUUUCACGAUACAAUUAUAAUAUACAGAUUUUGCCAACCAAGCAAAAGCUGGACGAUGAUGGCAACGCAACGAGGCUUGCUUGUCAUAGAGGCAGGCGACGAUUGAUGAUGGAGGAGGAUCAGGAAGAAUGAGGGCUUAGAGAUCAACAAAACGAAUUUAUAGUUUAUGUUUUUAUUUUAAAUCUAUUUUCCGGUUACUUUUCUAUUUCAAAAAAUAAAAAAAUUAAUUAAUAUUAACAAACAGAUUUUUUUAUUUAUUUAAUUUCAAGGAACCAAAAAACAAAAGAAUAAAGAAAUUGAAGUGUUACCUUACACACCCUUAAUUAUUCAUUAAUUACUAAUGUGGCGUUUGUUCAAUGUUUUCAUUGUGCCACAUUAACUACUGAUAUGACACGUCAAUUUUUUUUCUAUUCAUCUUCAAUUAUAGCUUGCACGUGGACAUUGAUUUAGAAUUUAAAAAAUAAAAUUUGCUUUCUCUCUCCCUCCAUCCAUAGCCACCGCCCGUUUUUUUUUUUUUUUUUUUAAGCAUAGCCACCGCCCAUUUGGCAGACUCGAGAAUCAUGCAAUUUUUCUUCUCUUUUUUUCCCUCGCUAGCAUUCACACGACAUUAUAACUCAAUGCUAUCAUAUAAUAUGUCUGGUAAUUAUUUUCCUUUCUAAUCACCCUUAUUAAACAUAGCAAUGUAUAGCAUAAAUAUAGAUGUAUUCUUUUAUAUUUAUCUUCCACGUAUCAACAUAGCAAACUAAUAUACUUGUCAAUUGCUAUACAUCAUUUAUCAAUAAUUUGACGGUAAAAUUAAAUAUAAUUCAUAUAUGUAAUCCAAUACGGAAAAUUAUAACACAAAAACUGAGGGCAGAGAUCGAAAGCUCCUAAGUAUGAUUAUAAGCAUUUCUAAUCAUACCUACUUGCAUCUCCAUGAUAUGGACAAUGAACGAGGCCUAAUAAUUUAAAGUACCUCAAAUAAACUAAUUACAUAAAGUUUAUAUUUUUAGUUUAAAUGUCUAAGGAUUAGUAUUGUAAAAAAUUUCAAAAUAGUAGAUCUAUAUAAAUUUAUCCAAAACUAAUUUUUUUACCACCAAAACACUCAAAUUGAUACAUUUAUGAGAAAUUUUCUCUCCUUUAGUUUCUAUUAAAUUAGAUUAAUACCAUAAAAAAAACUAUAAACUAAUAUACCUAUAACAAAGGAGGGUAAAACCCCAAACUGAUACAUUUGUCAUCCAACUCAAUAAUUUUAUGGUAAAAUUUAACAGAGACUAAUAAAUGAUAAAUUUGUCAUAGGUGUACCAAUUUAUUGAUUAAAAAUUUUGUUUGAAGUAAAUUUGUCAUAAAUAUACCAGUUUAGAGUUUUUCGUCAUAUUAACACAAUUUUUAAAGCACAUUUGAAAAUCAAUGCAUUUCUUUUCUCAUUCUUUCCUAAGGCAGGAUGUGAAUAUUGGGAAUAUGCAAAAUGGAUUGCCUGACCACACAGAGGAAACUGAAUUGGCUAGUGGGGUGUAAUUCUUGGGAGUAUUGGUCCGAUUUCCGAUAUCCAAAAGUGGAACUAGUGUUGAGAUAGUCCACUAAUUAGUUUCAAGGAAGAACGAAAUUGGAUCAGACUGAGCCGACUACAUAUAUAUAUAUAUAUAUAUAUAUAUAUAUAUAUAUAUAUAAUUUUCUCUUAAAAAAAUUAGUAAAAUGUGAACUAGACAUUAACUUGGUCAAUGGUAUCGCAAGCUACUGCAUAGUGACUCUUCGCUCAUCGUCACUUUCAUCAAUAUCUUAAGAUUUGUCAUUUUCUCUCAUUGUGUACAAACAUUUUUUAGUGGGGAAAAAAGUGACCGGUUCCUGGAUCAAUUAGUUCUUUCGAUCCAAUAUUUGAAUCCACCUUGGAAUUGGACCGGAGCGGGAUUCCAAUUUUCGGAACAUGGAAAGAACCCGGGGAUAUCGAAUUCGAAUAAAUGCAGGGUUCCAGCAUAAACAAAAGUGGGGAUUACGAGGAAAUUGGUAGACGCUUCGGAAUUGCGGCCCCGCUGAUCCGACCCGAUCGGUCAUUCGGUUCGGGUCCUGCGGGGCGGACCGGGAGAUGCGAGUCUCCCAUUCCUCCCGAAGUCCAUAUCUCGUCUUCCGUCGGACUCGGGAACCGGAGAGCUUCGUUCCUCCUCCUCCGCACGAGGUAACUCUCUCUCUCUCUCUCUCUCUCUCUCUCGCCGGCGACGGAAUCUCUCGAUUCGGAAGUCAGGUUUCGCUUUUCAUCGAUUCUCCGGCGAUGUUCAGUUGAUCGGAUUCGGAAAGCGAUUGAUUUCGCCGGGAGGUUGGUUCGUUUCUGAUGAUUUUCUUUCUUUGCUUCUUUCUGCGUUUCCGCGGUUUUUCUGGUUCUCGCGAUCCCGGAGGUGAGUCUUUCUAGGUAGAUUCUCGUGUUGUCUUGUGUUGGGAAUGUCAAAAUGCCAAUAGGAAUGGAUCGCCACGGAUGCAGAGCGUGCGUGCUUCUCUUUAGUCAGAAUAGGUGCGAUUCUAUCGAUUCGUAGCCUGAUAAGCUUGAUUUGGCUGUUUCAAGGCGUGUAAUGUGUUCGGCGUCCAAGUUGAUUAGGUCGUUUGGGAGAAUGAGGUGAGCAUGAUGAGUUGCCGUUGAUGUUCGGCGAUGGAGACGUUCGGUCGCUUCUCUUUAGUCGGAAUAGGCUCGAUCCUAUCAUUCCGUAGCUUGAUAGACUUGAUUUGGUUGUGUAGAGGUGUAUAAUGUGUUUGGCAUUGUAGUUGAUUCGCUCAUUAGUGAGAAUCAGGUGAGCAUGAUGAGUUUGGCAAUUGAGACGUUUUUCGCUUCUCUUUAGUCAGAAUAGGUUUGAUCAUGUCAUUUCGUAGCUUGAUAAAGUUGAUUUGGUCAUGUCGAGGCACAUAAUGUGUUCGGCGUCGAAGCUGGUUCGCUCAUUGAUGAGAAUCAGAUGAGCAUGGCGCGUUGGUAUUGAUGUUCGCUGAUGGAGAUGUUUGUUCAUCUCAACUAAAUCAAGUUAAUAUAUUGACUGGAUGGAUAGAACAUGACUAUUUGUGAGGAGACUUUAAUGGAGGAAAGGUCUUCGUAAUGGAGCUUCUCGUUAUAGAUAUGCAGUGUUCUGUCUUUCAUUUUUAUUUGCAGUAACUGUUUGGAGUAUUAUGUUGAUAAUUGAUGUCACCACUACCAAUGCAAGUGUUUGGCGUCAUAUAUUAAUUCCGGGCUGCAAAUUACGUAAUUUCUGCAGGCUUGAAAUGUGCUUAAAAGUUGGUUAAUCCAUUCUAGGCAGUUUCUUUAGAUUUCUAAGAUCUCUGUACAUGAAGUUUGGUUUUAGACUUUAGUCAUGGGGCUUGCUUUAGAUUUUCCUAAUAAAUAGAGAAAUGAAAGGUAUCUUGUUUUCCCCCAGAAAAUGCUGCCAGAUAGUUGCCCGUACUUUAGACAAUCCAUUUUGUAUUUAGAUGGCAAACAAUUUAUCCAAUUAAUCAUGUGAUAGAGGCAGCAGGUCUCUAGAGGUAGCAUACCAAUUAUUAAUGCUCCUCCACUGAUUUAUAUUGAUGAUUUGCUAGAGGAUGUGAUGUUGCAAUCCACUAUUCAGGUUGUGUGUGCUUUAUCAGAAGGAAUUUACGGUUAAAACUGUUGUCUCAUGGGCACUCACACCAGGAAGACUUUGACUAAAUGAGCACCCUUUGUUUUUAUGGUAACCAUUCCAUGAUUUAUCUAGCCUUGCACUGUCUUUCGACUCUUUUGCUGUUUGCUUAGUGGAUGUUUUCAUGUCUCAAUCAUCACUCGAUGCAGGUGACUGUGUUUAGUCUUUUCAAAUGGAAUCAAACAUGGACCCUGAACACCACGUAAUGAUUGAAGAAAGUUCUCCUAAAAGCUUUCAAAUUGAUCCAAGAAGAGCGCGCUUCCCAUACUGCAUUGUCUGGUCACCCCUUCCGGUCAUCUCGUGGCUUAUCCCUUUCAUCGGGCAUGUUGGAAUAUGCCGAGAGGAUGGAGUAAUCUUGGACUUUGCAGGGCCCAAUUUUGUAUGCGUUGAUAACUUUACAUUUGGGGCAGCAACUCGUUACCUACAGAUAAGCAAAGAGAAGGUAGGCUCACUUUUCAAUUGUGAAGUGAACUUUCUUUUUCCCCCGAACGGCCAUGACUUCAGCUAUUGAACUCUUUACUAUACUUUGAGAUGAGAUAGCACCACUUCAUAGUUAUCGGGCAGUUUUGCACUAAACCAUGUGUUAGUGGUUUUCUAUAGUAUGAAUUAUGCCGGGCGUCAUGCUAUCUGUUCACAUGUUCUCUACAGUGUUCUUUUCUGCCCUGUAAAUCCGACUACAACGAGGAUCAAAACCAAGAGGAUGAAUUUGGAAGAGACGUGUUGACUUGGGACGAAGCACUGAGAAAGAGCACCCAGGAGUUUCAACACCAUCACUACAACCUCUUCACUUGCAACUGCCACUCCUUCGUGGCCAACAACCUGAACAGGUUGGGCUUCCGAUCUGGCGGAUGGAACAUGGUGAACCUGGUUAUCCUGUUCCUUCUGGAGGGCCGCUGGGUGAACAAGGCGGCGAUCUUGAGAUCCGUCUUGCCAUUCGUCAUCAUCUUCCCGCUUGGGCUCAUCCUGGGAGGCUCGACAUUCCUGGCAAUCUGGGCAUCAUUGACCUUCCUCCUCGUGGGGUGGUUUUUCCUCGGGACAUACUGUUUUCCGAAUGCGAUCCAGUUGUAGAGCUCUCCCCGUAGUGGCAUGUAAAAACACCUUCGCACGGAUUUCUUAUCACUCCCGCGAGACGCGGUUUUUAGUGCACACUGUAUAUACUGGCAUACUGCGGCGUCAUUCUGAUUUCUGGUCUCUUGAAUUAGUCAGUGCCUUGUGGUUGGUAGUGUCUGUUGUGCUCUGUCGGAGGGGUGGGCAGGAACUCAAAUCUUCCGUUUUAAUCUUCCGUUUUUCCAAAAUUGUAAAGAUAAAUUGAUGAAAUAUAUUUUCAUCGUAAAAUAUUUAAAUAUAAAUUAUUAUCGAUAAUAAAAAUACUUUUCAGUGAUUAAUUAUUUCGGGUGAGAAAGUAAUAUUUAAAUUAUUCAUUUUUCGGGAAAUAAAUGGAGGCCUAACUUCAGAACAAGUUGUGUGAUCCAAAAGAAUUUUUCGGAUGAAUGGAAUUUGACUCUGCAGAAUGAUUUUCUAUGUGAUAAAUUAAUUUCAUUGGUCCUAUCCGAGAGUACUUGGUUACUUAGAGUACAUUUGCUUUUGAGUAAAUUAUUUUUGGGUUAAGGCUGUUAUACAAAUUCUUUUGUAAAACGAUAUAUUUUAGAUUAUAGAUUUGUACAAGCUUUUCUUUACUCUAUUUUGGAAGUGCCGAUCGCGACAAAUUGAGCACGAGUCCAUCGUUUCAGCGAGGGAGGGAGACGAUCCUUAUCCGUCGGCCGCGGCAAAGUUGCAAUUUACGACAAAACGACAGGAUCAAACGCGAGCUGGCGUCGUACGUAUUUUAAGGAAAGUUCACCAACUUUCUUAAAUGCGCAGGAAGGCGGUUUUCCAUCAAUAACGUGGUCACCUUCUCUCCUUCUCCCUUCAUCAUUCUUCCUCCUUCCUUCUUGUGCGUGCGCGUGUUCGUGAGUGAGAGAGAGAGAGAGAGAGAUGGCGGAAGAGGGCCAGGUGAUCAGUUGCCACAGCGCCGAGUCGUGGAGCGAGCAGAUCGCCAAGAGCAACGAAUCCGACAAGCUGGUGAGAAAUUUUCGGAUCCUUUUCAUGCGUUCUGCACAUGAAUCUGGCGUUGUCGAUGCGAUAUGCUGUCAUCUAGUUCGCUUCCGUUUGUGCAAGUAGUCGUAGCAAAUGGGCAUGGCGUUCGACGAAAUGCAAUCUCGAGCCGGCUUCCGAGGCGAUGGUUUGUCUUUGAUACUUCUGGAUCGGCCGCGCAUUCGUUUGCGGUCCUUUUUUUUUUUUUUUUUUUACUUUUUGGCCCCGGCCGGGACGAACGAAACCUAAUCGGUGGAACGGAGAAAAAGAAAAAAAACAUCAGAAUUCAGAAAGAGGCACGUUGAUCUGAGCAAUGACGCUGACAGGGAAGAGAAGCAAUGCUUUUCAAGGAGAUUAUCAUCAACUUUCAUCGUUCAGACUUAGUGUUGUUCGAUAAGACUUUUUUUUUCGUUUUUUUUUCCCGAAAUCAUAUGUGAUGGGAACGGGAUCUGGAGGCGACGGCUGCGGGUUGGAAGGUGGCGGGCCGGCUGUGGCGGGAAUGGGGUGGCGAUGGUGGCGGCGGCGGGGAUGGAGGAGGAUGGCUGGCUCGAGGCCGAGGAAGAGAGAGAGAGCGCAGAGAUCGUGCGGGUUCGGCUGUCCUUGCUUAUUAGGGUUUUUAUGUGCUUAGCUGUAAAUUGACAGGCAGUGCGUUAAAGUGUGAAUGGCUUGCCGCGUCGGCUACAUAACCUCCUCCCGAAUAUGAUUCACUUGUUUGAAAUGCCACAAACAGUCUGUCGCAACACUUAGUAUGCCGAAGUUGUGAAUAGGGGUUGAUGGCAUUUUACCUGAGUUUAUAAUGCGGCGCCAUGUCUGGCCAACUCGCUGAGCAUAGGACGGGAAGAAUACUCGGUACAUAGUUCCCCGUUGUUGAUUAGGUUGCUUGGUUGAUCGUUCUCCUUUUGGACUAUCUUAAGUUUUGCUUGUAACCCAAGUAAAUCUCGCAAGAAAAGUGAUUCUUUUCGCUAAAUAGAAUCAUACUUAAGUCAUCUUUUUACUCUCGUGUGAAAUCAAGGGGGAGAAAUUUGUUCAUAUCACUCUCCUUUUCUUUUGAAUUCUAUUUUCUCAUGAAGAAAGUACAUGCAUUGCUUCUCUACUAGUACUAAAGAGGAGCUGGCUGAGUCAUAGUUUAUGACUAGUGUUGUUGUAUGGCUUUCGAAGGUAAAUACUCUGAUUUUUUAUGGCAAUAUCAGCAGUCUGCCAGUGAAUUCUUAAUAGCAGGUGAUUUUGUUUGGGUUAUUAUAUUUCUUUCAGUAUAAUUUGGUGGAAGAAUGAGCAAAUGGGUCAGUGUGGCUGAUUAAGCUCUUUGUGUUCAUGAGCUAUUGAACUGCCAAUUAACAAUUUCCAGGAUGUUUCUGCUGUAGCGUCUCAUUUUAUAACGCCACUAGUUUCGGUGAUGAAUUGGUCAGAAUUGAAAUGCAUAUGAUGAUCACCGAGUUUGUUUGUUUCUUUUUUGUUUGAAACAGGUGGUUGUCGAUUUCACUGCUUCAUGGUGCGGACCAUGCCGUUUCAUUGCACCAUUCCUAGCUGAGCUGGCCAAGAAAUUCCCUAAUGUUCUGUUUCUGAAAGUUGAUGUUGAUGAGCUGAAGGUAAAAUAAUCCGAGGACUACAUUUCCAGGGCUAUAUGAAUGAUGGAAAUUUGUCUUAAUAGAUGACAGCCUAGCUGUCUAAGUUCUGCUCUGCAAGUAUUGUUGAACUCGUGAAGGAAUGACUUUCCAUUCUUUUGCAGACGGUCGCUCAAGAGUGGGCCGUGGAGGCGAUGCCGACUUUCAUGUUUGUGAAGGGAGGAAAGAUUGUUGACAGGGUGGUAGGAGCCCAGAAGGAUCAGCUGCAGAUGACUUUAGCUAAGCACAUGGCAACCGCUUCGGCUUAAUCAUUAUAUAAAUGCUAUCAACCAAGCUACAUACAGUCUCUCUUUCUUUCUUUUAAGGAGUUGCAUGCAGUGUCCCUUUGAUGUUAUGAGAUUGCUUUGAAUCUGGUUUUCAGUAGACAUGCCUGUCUACAUUCACCGCGUCGAAUGUCUCACAGCACCUUACGUCCAUCUCUGUAGAAUUGUGAUUCCCAAGCAAAAAUAACACAUAUCAUGCUACUUUGGGAGUAUUUAGGAUGAGGAAAUAAUGUAUGGCAAGUCUCAUGCAGAUAGUGUUAUAACCGUAGAUGGUGAUUCUACGUAAUAUUGCUGCAUUAUCUGGGAUGAGGUUUGAUAGGACCUGAAUGAGUUCUAAAGACAC
This 9196-nucleotide long non-coding RNA is filed under the name Eucalyptus grandis. RNAcentral describes it as "long non-coding RNA (EGRA_LNC005730)". Lineage: Eukaryota; Viridiplantae; Streptophyta; Magnoliopsida; Myrtales; Myrtaceae. The record is from RNAcentral.